GUGGGGGAUAUUGCACAAUGGGGGGAACCCUGAUGCAGCGACGCCGCGUGAGGGAAGACGGUUUUCGGAUUGUAAACCUCUGUCUUUAGGGACGAAACAAAUGACGGUACCUAAAGAGGAAGCCACGGCUAACUACGUGCCAGCAGCCGCGGUAAUACGUAGGUGGCAAGCGUUGUCCGGAAUUACUGGGUGUAAAGGGAGCGUAGGCGGGAAUGCAAGUUGAAUGUUUAAACUAUGGGCUCAACCCAUAGUCGCGUUCAAAACUGCAUUUCUUGAGUGGAGUAGAGGCAGGCGGAAUUCCUAGUGUAGCGGUGAAAUGCGUAGAUAUUAGGAGGAACACCAGUGGCGAAGGCGGCCUGCUGGGCUCUAACUGACGCUGAGGCUCGAAAGCGUGGGUAGCAAACAGG
Molecule: ribosomal RNA, 407 nt
Filed under: uncultured bacterium
Lineage: Bacteria
Description: bacterial SSU rRNA
Rfam family: Bacterial small subunit ribosomal RNA
Source: RNAcentral